CAGCAGCCGCGGUAAAACGAAGGGUGCAAGCGUUACUCGGAAUUACUGGGCGUAAAGCGUGCGUAGGUGGUGGUUUAAGUCCGUUGUGAAAGCCCUGGGCUCAACCUGGGAAUUGCAGUGGAUACUGGGUCACUAGAGUGUGGUAGAGGAUAGUGGAAUUUCCGGUGUAGCAGUGAAAUGCGUAGAUAUGCGGAGGAACACCGAUGGCGAAGGCAAUCCCCUGGGCCUGCACUGACGCUCAUGCACGAAAGCGUGGGGAGCAAACAGGAUUAGAGACCCCUGUAGUCCCUGUCUCUUAUAC
RNAcentral lists this ribosomal RNA (301 nucleotides) under uncultured bacterium. Its description in RNAcentral is "partial 16S ribosomal RNA". It matches the Rfam family "Bacterial small subunit ribosomal RNA", at positions 509 to 807 of the family's 1533-position model. The record is from RNAcentral.